GAUGAACGCUGGCGGCGUGCCUAAUACAUGCAAGUCGAGCGGACAGAUGAGGAGCUUGCUCCUCUGACGUUAGCGGCGGACGGGUGAGUAACACGUGGAUAACCUACCUAUAAGACUGGGAUAACUUCGGGAAACCGGAGCUAAUACCGGAUAAUAUAUUGAACCGCAUGGUUCAAUAGUGAAAGACGGUUUUGCUGUCACUUAUAGAUGGAUCCGCGCCGCAUUAGCUAGUUGGUAAGGUAACGGCUUACCAAGGCAACGAUGCGUAGCCGACCUGAGAGGGUGAUCGGCCACACUGGAACUGAGACACGGUCCAGACCCCUACGGGAGGCAGCAGUAGGGAAUCUUCCGCAAUGGGCGAAAGCCUGACGGAGCAACGCCGCGUGAGUGAUGAAGGUCUUCGGAUCGUAAAACUCUGUUAUUAGGGAAGAACAAAUGUGUAAGUAACUAUGCACGUCUUGACGGUACCUAAUCAGAAAGCCACGGCUAACUACGUG
This 497-nucleotide ribosomal RNA is filed under the name uncultured bacterium. RNAcentral describes it as "partial 16S ribosomal RNA". It matches the Rfam family "Bacterial small subunit ribosomal RNA", at positions 28 to 507 of the family's 1533-position model. The record is from RNAcentral.